GCAAGUCGAGCGGACAGAAGGGAGCUUGCUCCCGGAUGUUAGCGGCGGACGGGUGAGUAACACGUGGGUAACCUGCCUGUAAGACUGGGAUAACUCCGGGAAACCGGAGCUAAUACCGGAUAGUUCCUUGAACCGCAUGGUUCAAGGAUGAAAGACGGUUUCGGCUGUCACUUACAGAUGGACCCGCGGCGCAUUAGCUAGUUGGUGAGGUAACGGCUCACCAAGGCGACGAUGCGUAGCCGACCUGAGAGGGUGAUCGGCCACACUGGGACUGAGACACGGCCCAGACUCCUACGGGAGGCAGCAGUAGGGAAUCUUCCGCAAUGGACGAAAGUCUGACGGAGCAACGCCGCGUGAGUGAUGAAGGUUUUCGGAUCGUAAAGCUCUGUUGUUAGGGAAGAACAAGUGCAAGAGUAACUGCUUGCACCUUGACGGUACCUAACCAGAAAGCCACGGCUAACUACGUGCCAGCAGCCGCGGUAAUACGUAGGUGGCAAGCGUUGUCCGGAAUUAUUGGGCGUAAAGGGCUCGCAGGCGGUUUCUUAAGUCUGAUGUGAAAGCCCCCGGCUCAACCGGGGAGGGUCAUUGGAAACUGGGAAACUUGAGUGCAGAAGAGGAGAGUGGAAUUCCACGUGUAGCGGUGAAAUGCGCAGAGAUGUGGAGGAACACCAGUGGCGAAAGGCGACUCUCUGGCCUGUAACUGACGCUGAUGAG
Molecule: ribosomal RNA, 714 nt
Filed under: Bacillus altitudinis
Lineage: Bacteria; Bacillati; Bacillota; Bacilli; Caryophanales; Bacillaceae
Description: bacterial SSU rRNA
Rfam family: Bacterial small subunit ribosomal RNA
Source: RNAcentral